CCUACGGGAGGCAGCAGUGGGGGAUAUUGCACAAUGGGGGGAACCCUGAUGCAGCGACGCCGCGUGGGUGAAGGAGCGUUUCGGCGCGUAAAGCCCUAUCGGCAGGGAAGAAGGAGGACGGUACCUGACUAAGAAGCCCCGGCUAACUACGUGCCAGCAGCCGCGGGAAUACGUAGGGGGCAAGCGUUAUCCGGAUUUACUGGGUGUAAAGGGGGCGCAGACGGCAGCGCAAGCCAGGAGUGAAAGCCCGGGGCCCAACCCCGGGACUGCUCUUGGAACUGCGCGGCUGGAGUGCAGGAGGGGCAGGCGGAAUUCCUGGUGUAGCGGUGAAAUGCGUAGAUAUCAGGAGGAACACCGGUGGCGAAGGCGGCCUGCUGGACUGCGACUGACGUUGAGGCCCGAAAGCGUGGGGAGCGAACAGGAUUAGAUACCCUAGUAGUC
RNAcentral lists this ribosomal RNA (441 nucleotides) under uncultured bacterium. RNAcentral's name for it is "partial 16S ribosomal RNA". It matches the Rfam family "Bacterial small subunit ribosomal RNA", at positions 338 to 795 of the family's 1533-position model. The record is from RNAcentral.